Molecule: ribosomal RNA, 480 nt
Filed under: uncultured bacterium
Lineage: Bacteria
Description: bacterial SSU rRNA
Rfam family: Bacterial small subunit ribosomal RNA
Source: RNAcentral
AGAGUUUGAUCCUGGCUCAGAUUGAACGCUGGCGGCAUGCCUUACACAUGCAAGUCGAACGGCAGCGGACCUUCGGGUGCCGGCGAGUGGCGAACGGGUGAGUAAUGUAUCGGAACGUACCUUUCAGUGGGGGAUAACGUAGCGAAAGUUACGCUAAUACCGCAUAUUCUGUGCGCAGGAAAGCAGGGGAUCGCAAGACCUUGCGCUGAUUGAGCGGCCGAUAUCAGAUUAGCUAGUUGGUGAGGUAAAGGCUCACCAAGGCGACGAUCUGUAGCGGGUCUGAGAGGAUGAUCCGCCACACUGGAACUGAGACACGGUCCAGACUCCUACGGGAGGCAGCAGUGGGGAAUUUUGGACAAUGGGGGCAACCCUGAUCCAGCCAUGCCGCGUGAGUGAAGAAGGCCUUCGGGUUGUAAAGCUCUUUCGGCCGGGAAGAAAUCGCAUGGGUUAAUACCCUGUGCGGAUGACGGUACCGGUAUA